CCUGGGUCUGGAAGUCGAAGAAGGACGUGAUUACCUGCGAUAAGCCUCGUUUAGUUGGAUAUAAACUUUGAGACGGGGAUUUCCGAAUGGGGAAACCUAACUAGAUUAAUCUCUAGUUGCCCACUUUUGAAUAUAUAGAAAGUGUGAGCGAGACACCUUGUGAAUUGAAACAUCUUAGUAGCAAGAGGAAAAGAAAAUAAAUAAUGAUUCUGUUAGUAGUGGCGAGCGAAAGCAGAAGAGCCCAAACCGUAUUUAUACGGGGUUGUAGGACAGUCUACAUAGAGUUACAAAGAUUAUGUAUAGUAGAAAAAGCUGGGAAGCUUUGACAUAGAGGGUGAUAUCCCCGUAUACGAAAUGCAUAAUUCUCUUGACUGCAUCCUGAGUAGGGCGGGGCACGUGAAACCCUGUCUGAAUCUGCCGGGACCAUCCGGUAAGGCUAAAUACUAACCAGACACCGAUAGUGAACUAGUACCGUGAGGGAAAGGUGAAAAGAACCCCGGGAGGGGAGUGAAAUAGAUUCUGAAACUACUUACUUACAAUUAGUCAGAGCACGUUAAUGUGUGAUGGCGUACAUCUUGCAGUAUGGACCGGCGAGUUAUGUUAACAUGCGAGG
This 613-nucleotide ribosomal RNA is filed under the name Falsochrobactrum shanghaiense. RNAcentral describes it as "Bacterial large subunit ribosomal RNA". It matches the Rfam family "Bacterial large subunit ribosomal RNA", at positions 32 to 645 of the family's 2925-position model. Lineage: Bacteria; Pseudomonadati; Pseudomonadota; Alphaproteobacteria; Hyphomicrobiales; Brucellaceae. The record is from Rfam by way of RNAcentral.